RNAcentral lists this non-coding RNA (112 nucleotides) under Desulfosporosinus orientis. RNAcentral's name for it is "TPP sequence". It matches the Rfam family "TPP riboswitch aptamer (THI element)". From Rfam's summary of the family: Vitamin B(1) in its active form thiamin pyrophosphate (TPP) is an essential coenzyme that is synthesised by coupling of pyrimidine and thiazole moieties in bacteria. The previously detected thiamin-regulatory element, thi box was extended, resulting in a new, highly conserved RNA secondary structure, the THI element, which is widely distributed in eubacteria and also occurs in some archaea. Lineage: Bacteria; Bacillati; Bacillota; Clostridia; Eubacteriales; Desulfitobacteriaceae. The record is from RNAcentral. RNAcentral also lists the same sequence under 1 other name.
AUAUUUGGGCAGGGGGGCUGGAAAGGCCGGCUGAGAUUUAGACCCUACGAAGUCUGAGACCCUUUAACCUGAUCUGGAUAAUGCCAGCGUAGGUAAGCAGUUUACUCUUUUA